GGCCAGGUCCCAUGCAGUGAGGGGAUCAGGCAACGGGUCAGGCUGGAGACAGAGCAGCCCACCUGGUUCACUCAGGUGCCGUGGAUCACCUGGCCGUC
Molecule: signal recognition particle RNA, 98 nt
Filed under: Phycisphaerales bacterium
Lineage: Bacteria; Pseudomonadati; Planctomycetota; Phycisphaerae; Phycisphaerales
Description: signal recognition particle sRNA small type
Rfam family: Bacterial small signal recognition particle RNA
About the family: The signal recognition particle (SRP) is a universally conserved ribonucleoprotein involved in the co-translational targeting of proteins to membranes. Archaeal SRP consists of a 7S RNA and homologues of the eukaryotic SRP19 and SRP54 proteins.
Source: RNAcentral